GGUGGCUCAGUGGUAGAGUGCUUGCCUUGCAUGCAUGAGGACCUGGGUUCGAUUCCUUAGCACCA
Molecule: transfer RNA, 65 nt
Filed under: Dipodomys ordii (Ord's kangaroo rat)
Lineage: Eukaryota; Metazoa; Chordata; Mammalia; Rodentia; Heteromyidae
Rfam family: tRNA
About the family: Transfer RNA (tRNA) molecules are approximately 80 nucleotides in length. Their secondary structure includes four short double-helical elements and three loops (D, anti-codon, and T loops).
Source: Rfam by way of RNAcentral